AUUGAACGCUGGCGGCAGGCCUAACACAUGCAAGUCGAGCGGAUGAAGGGAGCUUGCUCCUGGAUUCAGCGGCGGACGGGUGAGUAAUGCCUAGGAAUCUGCCUGGUAGUGGGGGAUAACGUCCGGAAACGGGCGCUAAUACCGCAUACGUCCUGAGGGAGAAAGUGGGGGAUCUUCGGACCUCACGCUAUCAGAUGAGCCUAGGUCGGAUUAGCUAGUUGGUGGGGUAAAGGCCUACCAAGGCGACGAUCCGUAACUGGUCUGAGAGGAUGAUCAGUCACACUGGAACUUAGACACGGUCCAGACUCCUACGGGAGGCAGCAGUGGGGAAGAUUGGACAAUGGGGGAAAGCCUGAUACAGCCAUGCCGCGUGUGUGAAGAAGGUCUUCGGAUUGUAAAGCCCUUUAAGGUGGGAGGAAGGGCAGUAAGUUAAUACCUUGCUGUUUUGACGUUAACAACAGAAUAAGCACCGGCUAACUUCGUG
Molecule: ribosomal RNA, 484 nt
Filed under: uncultured bacterium
Lineage: Bacteria
Description: partial 16S ribosomal RNA
Rfam family: Bacterial small subunit ribosomal RNA
Source: RNAcentral